AGAAAGACUUAGAACGAAAAGAGUAGUAUAUUUGGAACUGACAGAGAGAGAUUGCCAUCGGCUGAAAGCAAUUUUGAGGAAAGAAUAUAUGAAGUGCAUUCGGGAGUUGGUUUGGCGAACAGACAGUAGCCGAAUUCGGGCAGCAUACGUUACAUGCAUCAAGUGAAGGAAGGAGAUUCCUUUAUUAGAGUGGAACCGCGGAUUGAACUUCGUCUCUAGA
Molecule: non-coding RNA, 220 nt
Filed under: Faecalimonas nexilis
Lineage: Bacteria; Bacillati; Bacillota; Clostridia; Lachnospirales; Lachnospiraceae
Description: Clostridium nexile T-box sequence
Rfam family: T-box leader
About the family: Uncharged tRNA acts as the effector for transcription antitermination of genes in the T-box leader family. T-boxes are found upstream of many aminoacyl-tRNA synthetase genes and some amino acid biosynthetic genes usually in Gram-positive bacteria. The anticodon of a specific tRNA base pairs to a specifier sequence within the T-box motif, and the NCCA acceptor tail of the tRNA base pairs to a conserved bulge in the T-box antiterminator hairpin.
Source: RNAcentral